Non-coding RNA from Sebastes umbrosus (honeycomb rockfish), 599 nucleotides. The record is from the annotation of a RefSeq genome assembly. NCBI's taxonomy places the organism in Eukaryota, Metazoa, Chordata, Actinopteri, Perciformes, Sebastidae.
GUCAAUCACAAGUGCUGCUGUGAAGAGAACAAUUGUCAGACUGAAUGUUGAACAUCAGCUAGUUUCUCCUGUUGAUUUAAACCUUGUUGUAGAGAUGGAACAUUGGCUGUGGAUUAUUCUUGCUGCUCUUUUCUUUGAGUGUAAAGGAGAAGACAGAGUGAACCAGACAACAGGAGAUGUCAUCGCUACUGAAGGACACACAAUCACACUGGACUGUACAUUUGAGACCAGUUACACAGGUCCCACUUUGUUCUGGUACAAACAGGAAGUUCAUGAUUUCCCAAAGUCUAUCCUACGACGCUACUCUGGAGCCAACGAUGCUGGAGACGUUCAGAAAGACAGAAUUGAUGCUACAGUCAACAAGAAAUCAGUUCCUCUGAGGAUCCAGAAGCUUCAGCUGUCAGACUCUGCUGUAUACUACUGUGCUCUGCAGCCCACAGUGACAGGAAACACCAAAACUCUGUACAAAAACCUUUGGAGCAAAGACAACACAAUACUCCACAACGUCCACUAGAGGGAGUCACACUCUGUUCCACUCCAACAGGAGCUGAUGAUCCAGUCUAGGGUUGAAGUACCAUCCAUUUGCUGGAUUACAGACA